This 251-nucleotide long non-coding RNA is filed under the name Mytilus galloprovincialis (Mediterranean mussel). The record is from RNAcentral. Lineage: Eukaryota; Metazoa; Mollusca; Bivalvia; Mytilida; Mytilidae.
UGAAUAUAAAAAAGAAGAUGUGGUAUGAUUGCCAAUGAGACAACUAUCCACAAAAGACCAAAAUGACACAGACAUUAACAACUAUAGGUCACCGUACGGCCUUCAACAAUGAGCAAAGCCCAUACCGCAUAGUCAGCUAUAAAAGGCCUCGAUAAGACAAUGUAAAACAAUUCAAACGAGAAAACUAACGGCUUUAUUUAUGUAAAAAAAUUAACGAAAAGCAAAUAUGUAACACAUAAACAAACGACAAC